Molecule: long non-coding RNA, 1914 nt
Filed under: Triticum aestivum (bread wheat)
Lineage: Eukaryota; Viridiplantae; Streptophyta; Magnoliopsida; Poales; Poaceae
Description: long non-coding RNA (TAES_LNC014645)
Source: RNAcentral
UCCUCCUCUGAUGGACAUGCUGCACGGACGCGAGCGCGGGCUGCUGCAGCAGCUCGCCGGACCAUCUCUGACGCAUGCGAGGCCCACGCACUAACGUGAGGUUCUUCUUUACCUUAACACUACUUUGAUUAGAUUUUUCUUUACCUUCACAUCAAACCGUUGGUUGGGUGUAGGAAGCUGCUAAUGGGACCUAAGCAUUGGUUGCUCAUUGCAAUCUGGGUUAACUGAAACACCAAUUUUUCCCACCUGUUCAAUUAGAGGAACCUGCACUUGCGACAACAAAAUUAAUAAUGACAAAAAUGAUGAACAUCAGUCAAAGUUCAUAGGCAGAAUCCUCAUGGUAGAUUUGGGUAAAAACUCACAAAUACAAAAGAGUAACAAAAAAACAAGACUAUACUUGUGCUCCUAAUUUCGCUGUUGGGGGAUUGGAGUAAUUUUUAAAUGCUACUACUAAGAAGGGAGAAUAGUAUCUUGAUUAUUAAGAUUCUUUCUUCGUAUUGUGCUUGGAGUAGGUUGAUUAUAAAUUUUGCAAUCCUGCUCAAUAGGUGCAAGAUGUAUGAUAAUUUUUUCAAUGGAAACUACAGUGAGCUAUCUAUAUCUUCUGGUUAUAAGCGUUCUGGCAUCAUCUACGAUUUUGCUUGUGCACAUGUCAGAGAUUGGUCAUGCUCCUUCACUGUUGAUUUGUAUUCCUCAUAAAGUUCUCCACUGAUGGUGUUAGAUUUUUUGAUUAAAAUGAUAUUAUGGUUGUCAUAUAUUUGGUACUAAGAAGGGACUAUGAUGAUUUUUUAGUUUUACAAGCUCUUAAUAUGGUUAUCAAAAUAUAUUCUAUUACUGAAAUGACCUUUUAAAUGAUGUUAGGAAUCUGCACUUUCCCAUAUAUAUACCACGAGGUACUCCUGAAGUUGCAAGAAAAAUACUACAGAAAAGCUUGUGAACUUUUGGAGGAUGUUUUGAAGACUAACAAUUGAAGAUUUACUACAUUUAAGCACCCUGGUUAAACCCAUGUAUGCCUUUUAGUUUUUCGGGCAAAACCUAAGUAUGCCUUAACAAGGAGAUUUGUAAAUUUGUAUAUUCUUUCUUGUGUACAAGGUAUUGGACCGAUGUAUGCUUCUAUUCUUGUAUUUACUUCUUGCUUGGACACUUGAACUAAUGUAUGGGUGAUGUUUACUGACCAACUUUUAAUCUCCUUUGCAUGUAUUUCUAAGUUUGGAUAAUUUGUUGUUUUUGUUUUUAAUUUCUAAAAAUCCACUUAAUUUGCAAUGUUGCACAAAAAUUAUAUUUUGAGUAACUAAUAUUAGUAAUCAAAAUUACUUGUUCAAACCAGUUAUAGUGAGAGAGAAUAAGUAUCAUUUUGAGGGGCAAUUUUAUUUAACAACAGUUUCAUGUCCAUGCUAACAAAAAAAGAUCUUGCAACUCCAGCAACAUAGACCUAAAUAUAGUUCACUAGAUUUAUCUUUUCUAAAUGUUGAAUUGACCUCACCAUCUCAGUGUAAUAGUAGAUUUACAAUAUUUUUCAUAUUAUAUAAUUGUUGAUUGUGUGAGAUGGAAUUCCACUUGGCAGUGUUGGAGAAGGAUGCGUUGCUAGAAAAGAAGGGAGAGGGCGGGGCGACCAAACAAGAUAGGAGGAGAACCAGGCAAGAUAGUCAACUUCGAUGCGGUGCUUGAGCAGAGCCCAUGGAAUUCUUAUUAGAUCUAGAUGGGUCUCUUUAAUAAGUUGUGGUUAUCUGUAAUGGUGACCUGAAUGUCAUGUACAAACAUAUAUGAUUUAUUAUUAUUUUGACUGGAUAUGGUGUACCAACUCACAUGCAUGCAAACUAAUUCUAUUAGUCAAGAUGUGAUCUACUUAUUCAAUUUUGAAUUUUAACAAAACGUGUGUUACACGUGCACGCUUACUAGUUUUAAUAUAAAAUAAAC